ACGAAAAUCAAAUAACAUGUGUACUCUGUACAUAUUGACAAACAAGCGGACGAGCGACAUACAUGCGAACCAGUACGGGUAUGCACGAGUAUGUACAUCGGUAUGUUCAUAUGUACAUCGGUAUGUCUCCUGCAACUCAUUCAAACUCAUUUCUAUACACCCCGCCCCAACUAACACUCGCAACCCAGACCUCGCUCACUCUCGCUCUCUGUCUUACUCGCUCUCCCCGAUUCUGGUUCUAUAUCUUUGCCCCUCCAUCGGAACCGACUGGUCAGCCGCAUAAGUGGCAAUUACAAUAUGGCAACCGGUAUUUAAAACUGUUUUUAAUGCCAGCAUUAGCACGAAAAUGAUGAGAAGUCUUGCCAAAGAUCGAUGUCC
Non-coding RNA from Drosophila melanogaster (fruit fly), 378 nucleotides. Lineage: Eukaryota; Metazoa; Arthropoda; Insecta; Diptera; Drosophilidae. The record is from Ensembl.